GACGAACGCUGGCGGCGUGCUUAACACAUGCAAGUCGAACGGAAAGGCCCUGCUUUUGUGGGGUGCUCGAGUGGCGAACGGGUGAGUAACACGUGAGUAACCUGCCCUUGACUUUGGGAUAACUUCAGGAAACUGGGGCUAAUACCGGAUAGGAGCUCCUGCUGCAUGGUGGGGGUUGGAAAGUUUCGGCGGUUGGGGAUGGACUCGCGGCUUAUCAGCUUGUUGGUGGGGUAGUGGCUUACCAAGGCUUUGACGGGUAGCCGGCCUGAGAGGGUGACCGGCAACUUGGGAAUGGGGAAAGGGCCCAGACCCCAAGGGGGGGCAGGGGGGGGAAAUAUUGCAAAAGGGGCGGAGGCCGGAGGCAGAAACGCCGGGUGGGGGAUGACGGCCUUCGGGUUGUAAACCGCUUUCGCCUGUGACGAGGCGGGGGUGACGGUAAUGGGUAAAGAAGCACCGGCUAACUACGU
Molecule: ribosomal RNA, 467 nt
Filed under: uncultured bacterium
Lineage: Bacteria
Description: partial 16S ribosomal RNA
Rfam family: Bacterial small subunit ribosomal RNA
Source: RNAcentral